This 1242-nucleotide ribosomal RNA is filed under the name Leuconostoc pseudomesenteroides. Its description in RNAcentral is "bacterial SSU rRNA". It matches the Rfam family "Bacterial small subunit ribosomal RNA", at positions 171 to 1401 of the family's 1533-position model. Lineage: Bacteria; Bacillati; Bacillota; Bacilli; Lactobacillales; Lactobacillaceae. The record is from RNAcentral.
GAAUGAAACUUAGUGUCGCAUGACACGAAGUUAAAAGGCGCUUUGGCGUCACCUAGAGAUGGAUCCGCGGUGCAUUAGUUAGUUGGUGGGGUAAAGGCCUACCAAGACAAUGAUGCAUAGCCGAGUUGAGAGACUGAUCGGCCACAUUGGGACUGAGACACGGCCCAAACUCCUACGGGAGGCUGCAGUAGGGAAUCUUCCACAAUGGGCGAAAGCCUGAUGGAGCAACGCCGCGUGUGUGAUGAAGGCUUUCGGGUCGUAAAGCACUGUUGUAUGGGAAGAACAGCUAGAAUAGGGAAUGAUUUUAGUUUGACGGUACCAUACCAGAAAGGGACGGCUAAAUACGUGCCAGCAGCCGCGGUAAUACGUAUGUCCCGAGCGUUAUCCGGAUUUAUUGGGCGUAAAGCGAGCGCAGACGGUUGAUUAAGUCUGAUGUGAAAGCCCGGAGCUCAACUCCGGAAUGGCAUUGGAAACUGGUUAACUUGAGUGCAGUAGAGGUAAGUGGAACUCCAUGUGUAGCGGUGGAAUGCGUAGAUAUAUGGAAGAACACCAGUGGCGAAGGCGGCUUACUGGACUGUAACUGACGUUGAGGCUCGAAAGUGUGGGUAGCAAACAGGAUUAGAUACCCUGGUAGUCCACACCGUAAACGAUGAACACUAGGUGUUAGGAGGUUUCCGCCUCUUAGUGCCGAAGCUAACGCAUUAAGUGUUCCGCCUGGGGAGUACGACCGCAAGGUUGAAACUCAAAGGAAUUGACGGGGACCCGCACAAGCGGUGGAGCAUGUGGUUUAAUUCGAAGCAACGCGAAGAACCUUACCAGGUCUUGACAUCCUUUGAAGCUUUUAGAGAUAGAAGUGUUCUCUUCGGAGACAAAGUGACAGGUGGUGCAUGGUCGUCGUCAGCUCGUGUCGUGAGAUGUUGGGUUAAGUCCCGCAACGAGCGCAACCCUUAUUGUUAGUUGCCAGCAUUCAGAUGGGCACUCUAGCGAGACUGCCGGUGACAAACCGGAGGAAGGCGGGGACGACGUCAGAUCAUCAUGCCCCUUAUGACCUGGGCUACACACGUGCUACAAUGGCGUAUACAACGAGUUGCCAACCCGCGAGGGUGAGCUAAUCUCUUAAAGUACGUCUCAGUUCGGAUUGUAGUCUGCAACUCGACUACAUGAAGUCGGAAUCGCUAGUAAUCGCGGAUCAGCACGCCGCGGUGAAUACGUUCCCGGGUCUUGUACACACCGCCCGUCACA